UCGAUCCGCUCCUCUCCAAACUGCCCGUGAUAGAGAGCGCCGUCGCUGCUCACCAUGCCCAUCGAGCUCCUCUCGCCGCCCCUCCAGGUACAGGAGUACCACCGGUAUCCUACUCGUCUCCAAGCCGAAGAUCGCCGCCCAAGAUGUGCUUCAACGUCGCCAUCUCCGCCAUCUUUGUCCUCGGCAUCGAUGGCCUCCUCCAACGCACCCCCGAGUCCGUUGGACCCUCCUGUGCCUCCCUGGUGAGCUUAGCUCAACCCCUCUCCUCUUUCCAGCUACGAGCGCGUCCUCUGGGCCAUAGAACCGCCGUGAUCGGAGUCGGCCGCUGCCAUGGUCCUUUUUUCCCACAGCAGCUGCCCCCAUUCUUGGCAGCUGUAACCGGAGCUCCGCUCCCCACGCACACGCACUCCCGCUCCUGACACGCCUUGCCAUGCCGCAGGUCGCGCCCCGCUAGGCCCAACGCCCCUCGAGAAUGCGCUUGCGCGCCCCUGGCCAUGCCGUGGCCUCCCCCCGCCCCAACGCACACGCAGGCCCACACAUGGCCGCGUCCAUGGUUCCCCGCCUCUACCUCCUGUCCGUCCGGCCUCGCGCUAGCCGCGCACACAGCCCGCGUCUGCCUUGCGCCCGAGCAUGUCCCGCUCACCGCUGCACUCUGCUGCUGCUCUCUGUGCAAACACAGUAGCCUCUACGCUUGGCCGUCGCCGACCACCCCGCCCCCGUCUGCAGACGAACACCCCGCUUUUUCGGCAGCUCCUGCCGGCCGCGCUACCUGCUCGCACGGCCGCCCGCGCGGACUCGUGCUCCUGACCACAGUCACCGAGCGCCGGUGCACAGGCGAGCGAGCGUGCCCAGCGAGGCCGCCUGGCCCUUUGUAGCCCCUAUUUACUUUAGGUCUACUAUUAGUACUAAUUAGUGGUUAGGGGUAGUGCCUAUGACGUGUGGACCCCUCUGCCUAAAUAAGACAAUAAAAAUCAGCUGUUUAGAUUAAAGACAACGACACCUGGGCCCCAUCUGCCUGAUUUGACCAGUCAACGGUCAACUCUGUUAACUGCUGACUAGCUGUUGACUAAGUCAACUGGCCCCAGGCCCCACUUGUCGGCCUUAGUGGCUAGCCAACUGCUAGGUGACAAAAGUGUUUGACUGUGUUUUUUGAAUUAAUAUAAUUCUAGAAAUUUAGAAAAUGUUUAAAACUUUAAAAAUAAUCUAUAAAAUAAAUCGUAACUCCAAUGAAAAUAAUUUAUAUAUAAAAAUCGAUCAGAAAAAUAUGACGAAUCCGAUAAUGCAAUCAAUUCAUCUGUCACAUGCCUCUAGCAUGAUGCACAUGGAACCAUCCCCCUAUUUUCAUCUGUCUAGAAAAUGCCAAACGCCGGGAAAACCCCUCCGGAUAUUUUCCCGCUCCGUUUGUAACGCGUAGCCCUGUGUUAGGUCAUCCCUAGCACCGCGAUUGCCAUAUAUGCUUUGUGAUGCUUCGAUUGCUCUGUUAUUUAUUGUGUUCCCCCUCCGUUACUUCUUUCCGGUAGACCCCGAGACCGCUGUCGAUGCCACUGUGAUCGACUACGUCGACGAGGACCCUUCUUCCUUUUCAGCAGAGCUUCCAAAAGCAAGCAAAACCCCUUGAUCAUUGCUAUAUCACCCAUUCCCUUCUCUCUUAUGCUUGAAAUUAAACUGCUACUGCUUUUGUAUAAUCCUAUUCUGAUGCAUAGCCUGAUUUUGUAAGCUGCAAUUGCUACCUUACUUGUUUAUCCGAAACUACUUAGUAUAGGUUGGUUAGUGAUCCACCAGUGACCCCUCACCUUGUCCCAGUUGCCCCCGCUUCAUGAUCAAUGACUCGAUCAACGUGAUCAACAUCCGGAGCCCAACACAUCACAUCACAUCCCCGCUUAGUUGUACAACUCUGCAGAGCUACUAUCGAGUGCUGGGGAUGAUACCUCGUAUAGCACUUCUGAUGCUAACUCUGUAGUGUAGCUAAUCGGUCAUGGUCUUCGAGGGUGAUUCUUCCUUCACCACUCCCGACAACGACUCUGUCGUGCAAACCCUCAAGUGUGGACCAUCGAGGGUGAUUCCUCCAAGUCCACCUUGACAGUUACAUCGAGUGGGAAUCCAUCGAGGGUGAUUCCUCGGGUUUCCCCCUUGCUGCUUUGGACACAUGGUUACUUUGAUGUUAAGUCGGUCGGCUCCGAGGGGUACCUGCGAGUUGAUGUGUAGUCGGGUUGACCUGGAGGGUACCCGCGAGAUUUCUGUGGCACAGCCAGGCAUUCCCGGCCCUUGCCGCAAGUCCACGAGACGGGACGACGGGGUCACAUGAUUAUGAGUCUUUGAUCGUUACCGCGCGCUCCCAAGACACUAAUGGAUUUGGGUAUUUGAUAUGAGUUGGCCACUGGCCUGUACGCACUAACCACCACGCGGGAACAAAUAUGGGCACUCGGCGUCGUAUGUAUCAGCCGAAGCUCUUCAGACGUCAGCGACUGAGCGGCGCACACCCGAGUGGCCCGCGUAAGCACCUACCUUGUAUAAGGAGGUUGGCAAGACUGACACCGGUCUCGUACGCAACGAGCAUAAGUGCAAAGGGUGAUGUGCCCAAGACCCCUGUGCUUAGGAUGUAGACCGGAGUGCUGGCCUCUCUAUUGAGCCUAGGUAGUGCUAUGAUGUGUUGAUCUUUCGAGGCCGGGCAUCACCCAGGAAAGUGUGUCCGGCCAAAGUGAUUGAGCGUGUUGGGUAAUUUGGUGCACCCUACAGGGAAGUUUAUCUAUUCAAAUAGCCAGGUCCACGGUAACAGGACAACUUGGAGUUGUAUCCCGAUCUAUACAACUAGAACUGGAUACUGAGAUGUGAAAUGGAUAUGAUGGCUCCGGGAUUGCUUUCUCGCAGGGAGUUGAGAAAGGAUCUCUAGGCGUUAAUGCUACAACAUGCUUGCUAAUUAUAAUAUGCUAUUUUGUACUCUUCUAAAUGCUUCAAGACGCUUGAAGAUGCUAGUCUUUAAUAGGCUAGGCCUUCCCUCUAUUCUGGAAUUUCUGCAAUUAAGUCCAAAGAUACAACCCCGUUCCUUUGAUACCGAUGCAUACUUAGCAUAGUUCUGAUGUAAGUCUUGCGAGUACUUUGGAUGAGUAAUCACGGUUGCUUUGCUACCUCUUUUCCCUCUAUAUCCGAUUGUUGCGAUAAGAUGACGGAUCCCAUGAGCCUGAUGCCACCACCGACGACUACUACUACCCCGAGGGUGCCUACUAUUAUGUGGAGACCAUCGACGGCCAGGAGUAGUUAGCAGGAUCCCAGACAGGAGGCCUUGCUUUAAGGAAGACUUGUUUAACUUAUGUCUAUGCUCAGAUAUUGUUGCUUCCGCUGAAUCAUUUGUAUUCGAGCCCCCGAGGCCCCUGGCUUGUAAUAUAAAGCUUGUAUGACUUUAAUUUGUGUCUAGAGUUUUGUUGUGAUAUAUUCCUGUGAGUCCCUGAUGCUGAUCAUACAUAUUUGCGUGUAUGAUUAGUGUAUAAUUGAAUCGGGGGUAUCACAAGU
This 3507-nucleotide long non-coding RNA is filed under the name Triticum aestivum (bread wheat). RNAcentral's name for it is "long non-coding RNA (TAES_LNC017987)". Lineage: Eukaryota; Viridiplantae; Streptophyta; Magnoliopsida; Poales; Poaceae. The record is from RNAcentral.